AUUGAACGCUGGCGGCAGGCCUAACACAUGCAAGUCGAGCGCGAAAGUUCUUCGGAAUGAGUAAAGCGGCGGACGGGUGAGUAAUACAUGGGAAUCUGCCUGGUAGUGGGGGACAACAUUUCGAAAGGAACGCUAAUACCGCAUACGCCCUACGGGGGAAAGGGGGGGAUCUUCGGACCUCUCGCUAUCAGAUGAGCCCA
This 200-nucleotide ribosomal RNA is filed under the name uncultured bacterium. RNAcentral describes it as "partial 16S ribosomal RNA". It matches the Rfam family "Bacterial small subunit ribosomal RNA", at positions 30 to 233 of the family's 1533-position model. The record is from RNAcentral.